This 253-nucleotide ribosomal RNA is filed under the name uncultured bacterium. RNAcentral describes it as "partial 16S ribosomal RNA". It matches the Rfam family "Bacterial small subunit ribosomal RNA", at positions 524 to 776 of the family's 1533-position model. The record is from RNAcentral.
UACAGAGGUCUCAAGCGUUGUUCGGAUUCAUUGGGCGUAAAGGGUGUGUAGGUGGCGCCGUAAGUCGGGUGUGAAAUUUCGGAGCUUAACUCCGAAACUGCAUUCGAUACUGCGGUGCUUGAGGACUGGAGAGGAGACUGGAAUUCAUGGUGUAGCAGUGAAAUGCGUAGAGAUCAUGAGGAAGACCAGUGGCGAAGGCGACUUUCUGGUCUGUAACUGACACUGAGGCGCGAAAGCGUGGGGAGCAAACAGG